GAUGAACGCUAGCGGCAGGCUUAAUACAUGCAAGUCGAGGGGCAGCACAGAUAGCAAUAUUGGGUGGCGACCGGCCAACGGGUGCGGAACACGUACACAACCUUCCUUUUAGUGUGGGAUAGCCCAGAGAAAUUUGGAUUAAUACCACAUAGUAUAUUGGAGUGGCAUCACUUUGAUAUUAAAGAUUUAUUGCUAAAAGAUGGGUGGGCGUAUGAUUAGGUUGUUGGUAGAGGUAACGGCGCACCAAGCCUUCGAUCAUUAACUGGUGUGAGAGCACGACCAGUCAAACGGGCACUGAGACACGGGCCCGACUCCUACGGGAGGCAGCAGUAAGGAAUAUUGGUCAAUGGACGGAGGUCUGAACCAGCCAUGCCGCGUGAAGGAUGACGGCCCUCUGGGUUGUAAACUUCUUUUAUGUGGGACGAAAAAGGGCCAUUUUUGGUCAACUGACGGUACCAUAGGAAUGAGCACCGGCUAACUCCGUGCCAGCAGCCGCCGUAA
RNAcentral lists this ribosomal RNA (501 nucleotides) under uncultured bacterium. RNAcentral describes it as "partial 16S ribosomal RNA". It matches the Rfam family "Bacterial small subunit ribosomal RNA", at positions 28 to 523 of the family's 1533-position model. The record is from RNAcentral.